GCUUAGCCCUAAAUCUAGAUACUUAAACUACCCAAGUAUCCGCCUGAGAAUUACGAGCACCAACGCUUAAAACUCUAAGGACUUGGCGGUGCCCUAAACCCACCUAGAGGAGCCUGUUCUAUAAUCGAUACUCCACGAUAUACCCGACCAUCUCUAGCCCCCUCAGCCUACAUACCGCCGUCGCCAGCCCGCCUAAUGAAAGCCACAGCGAGCAUAACAGCCCCCCGCUAAUAAGACAGGUCAAGGUAUAGCACAUGAGAUGGCAGCAAUGGGCUACAUUUUCUAACCUAGAACAACCUUUACUUAUCUUUACGGAAGAGGUAAUGAAACCCCCUCGGAAGGCGGAUUUAGCAGUAAACUGGAACUAGAAAGUCUACUUUAAACUGGCUCUAGGGC
Molecule: ribosomal RNA, 396 nt
Filed under: Eudromia elegans (elegant crested-tinamou)
Lineage: Eukaryota; Metazoa; Chordata; Aves; Tinamiformes; Tinamidae
Description: partial 12S ribosomal RNA
Rfam family: Bacterial small subunit ribosomal RNA
Source: RNAcentral